GAUGAAGAACGUAGCGAAAUGCGAUAAGUAAUGUGAAUUGCAGAAUUCAGUGAAUCAUCGAAUCUUUGAACGCACAUUGCGCCCGCCAGUAUUCUGGCGGGCAUGCCUGUUCGAGCGUCAUUACAACCCUCAGGCCCCCGGGCCUGGCGUUGGGGAUCGGCGGAGCCCCCCGUGGGCACACGCCGUCCCCCAAAUGCAGUGGCGGUCCCGCCGCAGCUUCCAUCGCGUAGUAGCUAACACCUCGCGACUGGAGAGCGGCGCGGCCACGCCGUAAAACACCCAACUCUCCUGAAGUUGACCUCGAAUCAGGUAGGAAUACCCGCUGAACUUAAGCAUAUCAAUAAGCGGAGGA
RNAcentral lists this unclassified non-coding RNA (352 nucleotides) under soil metagenome. RNAcentral's name for it is "partial contains 5.8S ribosomal RNA, internal transcribed spacer 2, and large subunit ribosomal RNA". The stretch from base 1 to 120 matches the Rfam family "5.8S ribosomal RNA", at positions 35 to 154 of the family's 154-position model. The record is from RNAcentral.